Molecule: transfer RNA, 83 nt
Filed under: Lentinula raphanica
Lineage: Eukaryota; Fungi; Basidiomycota; Agaricomycetes; Agaricales; Omphalotaceae
Description: tRNA-Glu
Rfam family: tRNA
About the family: Transfer RNA (tRNA) molecules are approximately 80 nucleotides in length. Their secondary structure includes four short double-helical elements and three loops (D, anti-codon, and T loops).
Source: RNAcentral
UCCAAUGUGGUGUAGUGGCUAACAUUGCUGUCUUUCACGUAAGGUGUGCACAGCAGCCCGGGGUUCGAUUCCCCGCAUUGGAA